This is a long non-coding RNA of Corvus hawaiiensis (hawaiian crow), 3817 nucleotides long. RefSeq lists it as uncharacterized. The transcript is spliced from 2 exons. The record is from RefSeq and is a predicted model, not a curated record. Lineage: Eukaryota; Metazoa; Chordata; Aves; Passeriformes; Corvidae.
AAGGAGGGCGCCUGUCGCCGUCAUGGCGCGGCCCGGCCCGCCCGUAGCGCCGCCGGAGGAGCGGCGGCUGGCGGCGCUUGGCGGAGCCGGGCUGCGGGAGACAAGCGGGUGACCAUGGGCCGGCGGUGCCCUUGCGGCCAGGAGGGCAGAGGUAUCCAGGGGUGCAUCGGGAAGAGUGUUUAACUGCUGCAACACAAACCCACUCCAUGUGAGCUGUCCAAGUCUUCUGUCUGCUCAGUGGAAAACAGAACUGCUCUCCUUAUCUCACUGCAGUGUCUGUUGGAAGGAAGACUGAAGGUGCAGCAACUUUGGAAAACAAACGUAGGACACUUGAGGGCAGGAUGGCUCCAAAAUGCAAACAAAAAGUGGAUUCAUAAGCUGAAAUCCAGAAAUCUUGGAUUUUUAGAUGAAGUAUUAUGAGACUUGCAGCUCUUGAAAAGCACAGAGCACAGUUAAAUAAACAGGGAAUUAAAUGGAGCAGAACCAUGCAACUCUAUUUGAGGGGAUUCCAAAGUGGAACACAUACAGUAUCUUUUGGCACCUCUAGGAUAAUGACCAGUUGUGAUUACUGAUUCAAUGAUACUCAUCACUUAAGCAGACUGGGUAACCCUGAAGUCUGGAUAAAAUUUGAAUUCACAUAAUUAUAUGCUGCUUGUUAUGUUCCCUUCAAUUUUCAAUUACAAAAAGUAUUUGGUACUGUUUUCCCUAAGGUUUUACUUAACUGUUGUCUGAUGUGAAAUCGUUGCUGUAUUUUACAGCACAGAUGGGAGGUUUUGAAUAGGAGGAGAGUUAAUUAAAUUAGUUUGUUGGUAGCAUGACAAAUCAAACACCUCAGUCCUUACAGUGAAGUAUAACAGCCCCAGCAGCAUAGCUAGUGUUAUUGUUGCUAUGUGCUUUCUAGUAUAGUUUUCACUUGCUUGUUACUGCCAAUCUGAGCUGAAAUUUCCCCUGCUGGGUGUCCGCUUCCAGCUGUUUUGUUUUAGUUUGUUUUGGUUAUUUUGUUUUGUCUUAUGAUUUGUUUGCUUUGAUUUUGGAAAGUUCCAUUUACAACAAUUGAGCCAACUACAAGGAUGAAUUUAGGGGAGAAUACAUGGUUUUGUCCAUUAUAAACAUAACCAUUUCACUGAACAGCCCCUAGCAUCUCUCUGCUUUGGAAAAACAAGCUUUCAAAUCUGGCAAGCAAAUUGCCUUAGUUUCAGGGAUAUAUUUUUCCGUGUUCAGGAAAAUAUGACCUGAAGAGAAAAAGAAUUUAAAAUGUAGAGUGGAGGCUUCUUAAAAUUGUACAGCCCUGUCCCCAGAAAGUUUCACCCAUAUUGAUCAUGUGUGACCUUGUGUUAGCCCCGGCUACAUUCUCACCUGAAUGUAGGCAUUCUUCCCUGAGAAAGUCUGAGCUUGUGCCUUUCUUUGCUUAUGUCCUGUCUAAAACAAGAAGCCUCUAAGGGGCUUGUAUAACACAGUCCAUCUCCCUCCCCUGGAACAUUUUUGCUGGGGCUACCUGUUGUUAGAGAAGGUGUUGGCAGCAUGAAGCACAUAAAAGACCUCUCUCUGCUGUAAGCUGUUUGUGUUAUUUGUUGGUUUUCCUGUAUUAACUCUAAAGGAUACUCAUAGUUGUAAGCACCAAGUAAGAUUUAAUGCCAAUUGCUAUCCCAGAACAUAAUGUGAUACCAGAACGGAUCUGUGGAAUGGAAGAGUGCCUCUGAAAUCCCAUAGACAGAAGAAAAGGUCCUGAGAUAGGGAAAAAAGAGCAGCUAAGCACCCUUACACAGGUGUAGUUCUGGAAUAUUUUCGUGCGAAGAUUGUUCUCCUCAUUGGGUGGGAUUAUGGAAAAAGAUUGAUGUUUUCCAAAUCCUGCAGAACUAGAAGUAGGGGCAGUCGUUGAAACCAGUAGGAGAUUGGUUUAGAAAAGAUAAAAGGGAGUAUACUUUUUUUUAAUGUAGCAGAUAUAGUGAACUUGUGGAAUUUACUGCCAGCAGAAGUUUUGGAAGCAAAUAGGCUAGCAGAUUGGAAAGGAGACUAAACAGUUAAAUGGACUGCAUAUUCAUAGAGACAUGAAAGAAGAAUUUAGUAGGGAUAUGCUCUCUAGCAUCCCUAAUACAGUGGUUGUGGGUGCUGGAGGAGAAUAAAGGUAAUGUAUAUGCCUGGCUUGCAUGUUCUCUUUAAAUAGUAUCUCUUGUUAUUAAAGAAAGGAUACUGGGGAUAGCUGGAUAUGGGGCUAACCCUCCAGGAGAUCCGUUAUGUUUUUUUCAGGGCUCUGAUUUUGUGUCCACAGGUAUGCGAGAAUAAAUGCAAUGUUAGUAGGAGUUUGUAUUUUAUUUUUUGAGGAUGAUGCCUCAGGGUUCUCUUACUUCAGUAAGACCUGAACCAUAGGUCACUAAUACUGCAUUGUACCCUACUGAGGAAACAUACACUUUCCAAUACAUACACAAUCCACAUAAUAUUAGUGCUUGGAUAGGGACUCAGGCUGGGCUAUAGCCCUCCUGAUGUUGCAUUUUCCCCAGAGAUCCUUCUGCUCUGUCUGCAUAGAACCUGAUGAAUACUCAUGUCUGAGGAAAGAUUUCAUAAGCUGUGAUAGAAUUUCCCCCAGGAUAUCAGUGUAUUUUGGGAAUAUUAUUUGAGAGUCAUCUGCUGGAAAACAUCUAGUGCAGCUGAAGGAGAGAGUGCCAGAUUAGACAGAUUACUAGGCAUGAAUCCCAGCCCCUAUUUGUAUGAGUACUCCUUCUGCCUUUAGAUAAUCACAUUAACAUCAGGAGUAUUGCUUACACAAGUAUUACUGAGAAAAAGUGGUGAACAGGCUUGGGCCCUCACAACAGUGUUUUUGUUCCAGCACUUUCCUGGUGAGAUUUUGAUCUUUUCCUCUUCAGAGCUCAUUAAAGUUGGUAUAUUCACUAAGGAAGACCACCCACUACUCAGCAACCUCCUGUAAUGAUUACCAACCCAUCUUUUACAUCUAUCAGAAGUAAUAUUUUUAACAGUUCAGAUAUUGUUUUCCUUCCCCUUCCUAAGCUCUUCCCAUGCUUAGAGAUACACAAGUACUGUCUUUCAUGCUUGGUUGAUUAUGAAGCCAGAACUUUUGUCUCCUCUGAGGGUUUUUUUGCUGCUCCUCCACUACAGAUGAGCCAGAAACCUUCCACAAACAUAUGCUAGAGGAGCCUCCAGUGGGUGGUGAGACUGGUAUCUCAUGGUGGUUGUCAUCAGGCAGCAUGGGUUAGGAUAUGUCUCCUGCCAAGCCUGCCUGGAGAAGCACAGCUCAGUGAGACCUUAGGGAUCUUGACUAAUAACAGCAGUAACCUAAUUUGAAAAAAAGAAAAAAGCUGUAUUCAUUUUUUUUUUGUGGCUGAUGAUACCCAAAGGAGUACCACUGUGAGUGCAAAGGGAAGAUUAUAAACAUCAAAUCAUAGAAAGUGUUUACAUGUCUACUAUUGGGUGCAAUUACUCAAGCUUGGAAAGGAUGAAGUAAUUUUUAUUUGUACACCUAAAAGGAGAAGCCAAGUUAAAGUACUUAUAUAGAUCAGCCUCCAAAAAUUAAAGUGUGAGAUAAACAAUGCCAACAACACUGUAACAAAAAAUCCAGAUUUCAAGCCAAAUAUCUAUGAAGGAAGAAGUAUUCAAUGGAAAAUAUCAUAUUCCUGCAGUCUUUCUGACCACAGAGUUACACUCAUUAUGGUAAAGCUAUAAUUGCAGCCUUGUGAAUACAGUGCUGCAGACAAUGGCCUGUCAGUGUUUUUCCACUAUAAACUCUCAUGUGAGGUUUGCAAUUUUGUGAAAUACAAUUAUCUUUGGCUGGAAUAUUCAGCUACAUUCUCAUCCCAGAAAUUGA